This 373-nucleotide ribosomal RNA is filed under the name uncultured eukaryote. Its description in RNAcentral is "partial 18S ribosomal RNA". It matches the Rfam family "Eukaryotic small subunit ribosomal RNA", at positions 592 to 976 of the family's 1831-position model. The record is from RNAcentral.
CAAUAGCGUAUAUUUAAGUUGUUGCAGUUAAAAAGCUCGUAGUUGGAUUUCGGUUGAGAACGGCCGGUCCGCCGUUUGGUGUGCACUGGCUGGUUUCAACUUCCUGUAGAGGACGCGCUCUGGCUUCACGGCUGGACGCGGAGUCUACGUGGUUACUUUGAAAAAAUUAGAGUGUUCAAAGCGGGCUUACGCUUGAAUAUUUCAGCAUGGAAUAACACUAUAGGACUCCUGUCCUAUUUCGUUGGUCUCGGGAUGGGAGUAAUGAUUAAGAGGAACAGUUGGGGGCAUUCGUAUUUCAUUGUCAGAGGUGAAAUUCUUGGAUUUAUGAAAGACGAACUUCUGCGAAAGCAUUUGCCAAGGAUGUUUUCAUUAA